AUUGAACGCUGGCGGCAUGCCUUACACAUGCAAGUCGAACGGCAGCACGGGAGCAAUCCUGGUGGCGAGUGGCGAACGGGUGAGUAAAGUAUCGGAACGUGCCCAGUCGUGGGGGAUAACGUAGCGAAAGUUACGCUAAUACCGCAUACGAUCUAUGGAUGAAAGCGGGGGAUCGCAAGACCUCGCGCGAUUGGAGCGGCCGAUAUCAGAUUAGGUAGUUGGUGGGGUAAAGGCUCACCAAGCCGACGAUCUGUAGCUGGUCUGAGAGGACGCCCGGCCACACUGGGACUGAGACACGGCGCAGACUCCUACGGGAGGCAGCGGUGGGGAAUUUUGGACAAUGGGCGAAAGCCUGAUCCAGCCAUGCCGCGUGCAGGAUGAAGGCCGUCGGGUUGUAAACUGCUUUUGUACGGAACGAAAAGGUUUGGCCUAAUAAGCUGAGCUCAUGACGGUACCGUAAGAAUAAGCACCGGCUAACUACGUGCCAGCAGCCGCAGUAA
RNAcentral lists this ribosomal RNA (500 nucleotides) under uncultured bacterium. RNAcentral describes it as "partial 16S ribosomal RNA". It matches the Rfam family "Bacterial small subunit ribosomal RNA", at positions 30 to 523 of the family's 1533-position model. The record is from RNAcentral.